AUGCACCUGUUCAAUUUAGCCCUUCUUGCCAAACAAGGGUGGAGGCUGAUUCAGAACCCGGAGAGUCUAUGUGCCCGGGUGCUCAAGUCUAAAUAUUACCCAAACGGCAACCUGUUGAACACCGUCUUUGCGUCGGAUGCGUCGCCUGUGUGGAGAGGUAUUGAAGCAGGGCUGGAGUUGCUGAAAAAGGGCGUCAUCUGGAGAGUGGGCAAUGGAAGAGAUAUUCAGAUCCAACGGGACCAGUGGUUACCAAGGAAAGAGGGUCUGAUGACCGCGGCAUUCAUAAGAAGAUCACGUCUUCGGUGGGUGAACCAACUCAUGCUCCCAGAUAUGAAGGAAUGGAAUGUUCCACUUAUCAAACAAAUUUUCUACCCUUUCGAUGCUGAUGAUAUAUGUAGAAUCCCAAUCCCUAGAUCGGAUGUGAGGGACUGCAUUGCCUGGCACCCUGAGAAGAAUGGGAUAUUCACAGUUCCCCCGAAGGUGAGAAUCUUCGGUUGGAGGGUUGCAACCAACACUUUGGCCACGAAAAGGAACAAGUUCAGGCGUACGAUCACGUUCGAUGUGACGUGCGAUAUAUGCGGCUGUGGGGAUGAGGAUGAACACCACGCAGUGGUGGGAUGCACCAAGAGUAGGGCACUCAGGCACAAAAUGAGGGAGGAGUGGGAUAUCCCGUCGGAAAAGCAUUUCCAGAAUACUGGCGAAGAUUGGCUACAGAUCCUACUGAGCUUCGUUCCAAAAGAUGUUCGCGUAAAAAUCUUGUUGCUGCUAUGGAGAUGCUGGCACCUCCGUGAAAAUUGCAUACAUGGGGAUGGAAAGGAGCCGGUUUUAGUAUCCGCCGCCUAUCUGUCGAAGAUGCAUGACGAAUGGAAGAACGUGGGUGUAGCCGGACAGGCGGAGGGGAAGGCGAUCUUGAUGGGUUUGCAAGCAUUGGCACCUCGCUAUAAUGGGAACAUUCUGAUAGAGAUUGACUGCAAAUCUCUAGCGGAUGAUCUCCAAGGAAACGGCCAAGUCAGGUCAGCAAGUUAUGGAUUGAUUAUGGACAUCAGAUCGCUGCUUGGAGGUUUUCAGAGCAAGCAGAUCACUCAUGUUGAUCGUCAGCGGAACUCCCUUGCACAUGAGCUGGCAGCAGAAGCUAGAAGAUCUGGGGACUUUUUUCUGAUUGCUGAUGUCCCUAAUGGGUUGCAUAACUUGAUGUUCUCUGAGUGUAACCCCCUACUGGAGUAA
RNAcentral lists this ribosomal RNA (1224 nucleotides) under Triticum aestivum (bread wheat). RNAcentral describes it as "partial small subunit ribosomal RNA". Lineage: Eukaryota; Viridiplantae; Streptophyta; Magnoliopsida; Poales; Poaceae. The record is from RNAcentral.